This 253-nucleotide ribosomal RNA is filed under the name uncultured bacterium. Its description in RNAcentral is "partial 16S ribosomal RNA". It matches the Rfam family "Bacterial small subunit ribosomal RNA", at positions 524 to 776 of the family's 1533-position model. The record is from RNAcentral.
UACGUAGGGUGCAAGCGUUGUUCGGAAUCAUUGGGCGUAAAGCGCGUGUAGGCGGUUAGUUAAGUCUGAUGUGAAAUCCCUAGGCUCAACCAAGGAAGUGCAUUAGAAACUAACUAGCUAGAAGAUGGUAGAGGAAGGUGGAAUUCCAAGUGUAGAGGUGAAAUUCGUAGAUAUUUGGAGGAAUACCGGUGGCGAAGGCGGCCUUCUGGGCCAUUCUUGACGCUGAGACGCGAAAGCGUGGGUAGCAAACAGG